This is a non-coding RNA of Glycine max (soybean), 82 nucleotides long. The record is from Rfam. Lineage: Eukaryota; Viridiplantae; Streptophyta; Magnoliopsida; Fabales; Fabaceae.
GCCUCUGAGGAUGAUUAGAAAAAUAACUUUCGUUUCCUAGUUGUCCAUGAGGAAAAUACAUGGAGACCUGAACUGAAGAGAC